ACAGUUUGUGUUUAAUGCAAAUCAAUUUCAUAACAUGAAAAGUUACUAUGAAUCAAAGCAUAAAUACACAAACACAAUAUACAAUCCAAAACAGAUAUACAGCAUUCAGGUGUGAAACAAAAGGGAAUGUUCAUUCACACACACAGUAGCUUGAGAUCUGUUGGAUAUGUUUAUUCCAGUGUUGGUUUCUAAAGAUGGAAAAAAAAAUGACUUUGGUUUUCAAAACUACUGUGGCCAUAUUAGAUUCUGGAAUAUCUAAGCAUCAGUGUGUGACCAUGU
RNAcentral lists this long non-coding RNA (279 nucleotides) under Bos taurus (domestic cattle). RNAcentral describes it as "long non-coding RNA NONBTAT011794". The record is from RNAcentral. Lineage: Eukaryota; Metazoa; Chordata; Mammalia; Artiodactyla; Bovidae.